GCAGCCCCCUGGGGCCCCGAGCUCCCACGCACAGUCCGCACAGAGGCCGGCCGGUUGCCCCUGCACGGAUACCUCUGCCAGUGGACCCUGGUGACCUACCUGGACGUCCGGAGCUGCCUUGGACACCUAGGCUACCUGGGCUACCCCACCCUCUGUGAGCAGGACUCCCAGGCCCAUGCCAUCACAGGUAGGCACCCACCCUCCCUGGGCCUGGGCCCAGCAUCCUGGCAGCUGCCCUAACCCGUGUCUAUCCUCACAGUCACCCGUGAGAAGAGGCUGGACCAGGAGAAGGGACAGACGCAGCGGAGCGUCCUCCUGUGCAAGGUGGUGGGGGCCCGUGGAGUGGGCAAGUCUGCCUUCCUGCAGGCCUUCCUCGGCCGCGGCCUGGGGCACCAGGACACGAGGGAGCAGCCUCCCGGCUACGCCAUCGACACGGUGCAGGUCAACGGGCAGGAGAAGUACUUGAUCGUGAGUGCUGGGGCGGCACGGCCUGUGCCCGAGGGUGGACCCGGGGACACCCAGGCCUGCCUGGCAGAUCUGGCCCAGCAUGGCCCUAGGGGGACCGAGCCCCAGGGACCCUUCCUAAGGCCACUGUCUGUCCCAGCUCUGUGAGGUGGGCACAGAUGGUCUGCUGGCCACAUCGCUGGACGCCACCUGUGACGUUGCCUGCUUGAUGUUUGAUGGCAGUGACCCAAAGUCCUUUGCACAUUGUGCCAGCG
This 719-nucleotide small RNA is filed under the name Pan troglodytes (chimpanzee). RNAcentral describes it as "retained intron". The record is from RNAcentral. Lineage: Eukaryota; Metazoa; Chordata; Mammalia; Primates; Hominidae.